AGCUCAUGGGCCUGGCCCGCUUGAGAACCACCAGACUACAAGUACGCGAGAGGAGCCGACGAAGGAGGCCAUCCAGUGGAUCAGAAACGGCGGCGGCGGCACCUAUCUUCGUGUUCCUCUUGUUCCUCAUUCCCUGUAGCUCGUGUUGGCGAUUGUAACUGGAGCUUGUAUCCUGAAUUCGUGAGCGAUACUAAUAGAUCGAGAGGUUACUAAUAGUUCCUUACAUCUGGUAUCAGAGCCAGUCCACCACCUUUCCAUCAUCCAAUUUUUUCCUAAUUUUUCUUCCACACCGAUUCAUCUGUUCCACCGGCGACGACGCCAUGCCUGCCGACUUACCACCGGAGUGGGACGCCAUGUCUGCCAAGGAGCAGUUGUUGUGGUAGCUCGAGAGAUUAUGCACUAAGGCGGAGGAGAUGAGCUCGGCGUUGGGUAUUGCACGCGUGGGUGACCCUCCCGUGGCUACCUUGCUUGUCGAUCCGGCGGCCUCAACCACGACGCAUGCCUCGUCCACGAUCGUCCCUGACGUCUCCUCCAACACCAAGGCCCAGGAGGUCCUCGAGGUCGUCCAUGACGCGCCCCCUGCCUCCAUCGCGAUGGCGCACGUCAGCUGUUCGACGGAUGGCUCGAACGAAGUUGUCGCCUUCAACAUCAUCAACAAGGUCACCACUGCUAUCUUCCCCGAGCUUUCCGUCCUCCCGAACGACAAGGAGGUCGAGCAGUUGCCUUCGUACGCGGUCAGUGAGGAGGACGCCGCUCCUGUGGCGAUCACAGCUAAUGCUCUUGCCCAACUGGGUUCUCCUGGGACGACAGUGGCGUACGAUAGCGUCGUCAUCAGUGAUGCCAACAACUGUGCUACACCUGUGCCGACCAUGUGUUCGACGGAAUUCUCGAGUCGAGAUAUCAUUGUGGCGAUGUCUGCGCUUGCCACAGCUGCGACACCUGAAUUGUCCUCGACCAUUGUCGACUUUGUCCCUGAGCUCACUUCCUGUGAUGCAGACGUUGAGGCCUUUCACAUUGGUGCCAAUGGUGUCGAUGCAAUGGCACCCACCAGAGACUUGACUGACUGCCUCGGCGACAACCUCAAUCAGGGGAGUGAGGUUUUACCCAUGUCCUACUGUGUAUUUGGUAGCUCUCACGGAGGAGAGUGUUGGAAGCAUCCAUGGCCACCACCUCAGGUUAUGUCACUGACGGGGAUCUACGAUACUGCACCGAUUCCUAUGGAGCAACAGUUAUGUUCCCAGUUACUUUUUCAUAGUGAUCAGAGUGGUGGCUCUAGCGGUAUGACUUGGGAUCCAGGAGUGUUACUGAAUUGCACUCGAUUAUCACACAAGGCGAACGAUGAGCUUUUUGGGUACAGAAAUGCAUCUAUUCAGAGUUUGCUUCGUCAACUAAUAGUGGAUUUGACUGGAAUUAAAAUUGACACGACUUCUCCAAAAAUUCAUGGUCCUGCUUCACAGUCAACUGAUACAGUUGUGGCUGAUGUUCUUAAUGAUCAUGAAGAGCAACACGUUUCUCGGGACAGGACAGUUCUUACUGCUAGUAGUGGUUCACAAUGGCAUGUUAUGUGUAUCAUUAUGGAGUUCGGUCAGUGCUUCUCUCGGAUUGGACAAAUUGAGUGGUUGUUUCCUAUUUGUCUGAAGAUGAUGACGCGGUGCUUGGUUUUACUAUCUCCUGCCGACAUUGAGUAUGAGCUGUGGCGUCGACCAGAUCAAACUGAAAAUUGUGGUGUGCUUGUGAAGUUCAGAAUAUUGCAUAUUUUCUAGCCCCUUCAGUCAAGCUGCAACCAUGGCCUUCCUGUAGACUAUCACUAAUUUCUCUAGCUAGCAUCUCUGAACAAUGGAUAUUUAACUAUGACGAGCAUCCUGUUGUAUCUAUUAUUCCAUGGCAUGAGAAACUCUAUAGGGCCAUACAUACCAGGAGCAUGUCAGUGAAUUGGACAUUUAUGAGUCGAAGGGAAAUCAAGUUUCGAUCUGAAGCGGACUAUCUUGAGGAGCUAUGUUCAAUUUGGUCUGACUGCCACCAUACUGCAAUUAUUUACUUGAGGGAAGAGGGAAUUAUGGAGAGAAAGAUUCCCACCGUGCUAGCAAAUUCUAGGGGAGUGGGAAUGUAGGCAACAAGAAUGCUCUGUGUCCCUAGACCACCUGCCAAACCUCCUGAAGAUUAUGAUAAGUGUAUCCUUGUUUUCGUAAGAAUGCAGGCGAUCACUCCAGCAUCAUCACCAAGCUGUGCGCUUACCACGUUGAAGCCACUGUUUGAGAUGCUACAUCUGCCGAUGCGAGGAAACUACGGUGCACUGUCUGAUUCUUCAGGUUGUCCUCUGCCUUCACACCUUGGUAGUUUUUCCGUGCUUAAAUGGUAUCUUCAAAUUACACUCAUUUCUCUAGCCGCACCCCGGGGCCAGUGCAGUUGUGAACAUUUUCAACCUUGGAUCACUAGCACAAAAGUACUAUAUUUCACUGACUUUGCCAGUGGAAGUCGACAUAUGUCCCAAUUACAUUUUCAUGCUUGUCAUAGUGGCAGCCGGACAGUGACUCGAGAAACAUCUUCUAUUGGCACAUUGCAUACACAUGCAGGUUGUAUGGCCUAUCUGAAUCUUAUCAGCAUUACUUUGAGGUGUUCAGAAGCAAUACAUGGGGUGCAUGUGACCUACAAGAGUGUACAGUCUUAUGUAUCCUAUAUGGUGCAUGCUCCUGCAUGUAGUAUUCCUGGUGAGAAAUUCCAAAGGAAAAUUCAGCUUAUGCGCGUGUCAGUGCACGGGGAAAUUUUUAGAGAAGGGUGUUUUAAUGGGAGUGUCUGUUACACUUGGGAAUGCAAUUCUGACAAGCCUCAGCAGGCUUGCUGUUGUACACUCAACCAAGUUUAUCACAAGCUGGACAACUUCAUUUCAUUGUCAGUUAAGCAUCACUUGUCACUCACUGAACCUGAACCUGGAGUGGACACAUGCAAGCAUGAACAAAAAACUGGCGAUUCAAGAGUUGGAGUUCGACUUAUUAUCCUGAUCAUCGUAACCCUUCUGAACGAUCUACCAGAGAAAUCCUUGCUUGACGAUGCUACUGGAACCAUUCACCAUUUGAUACGGACACCUAUUGGUGCUGAGUUGCAGCAACAUGACCAAAUAGCUCAUAGGGACAAUCCCAUUCAUCAUUUAGUGAAGCAACAAAUGUCACUCUCUGAACCUGAUGAGAAUGCAAACAUGCAUGAACACAUCCAAGUUGCAAAUGUGCGCAGGUCAUGGGACCCUGGGAGCGCUACCAUGCCAACUUCUCAUCUUCAGCUGGCCAAAAAUGUAGUGGCGAUGGUCAGCAGCAAGGAAGCACGAGCCAUGGGUGGAAUGGUGUCUUGUACCCUCUCCUGCCAAGAGCAUGUUCAAGAAGGGGGGGUCUGUCAUCGUUGUCACUGUCGGCUUCGUGCAACACUUCGUCGACAGCUUCAACAUCUGCUUUCUCGGCAUCUCCUUCGACUCGGGCACCAUCGUCCACGACUACUACUCCCACGUCGUUCCAGCCAGCAUCGACUUCAGCUCCCAUGGCGACUUCGAGCUAGUCAAGGACCAUCGAGUGCAAUGGGAUCCGGGUGGUUCUCGGCGGCGGCGGCUUGAGGUCAAGCCGAAUCUCAAGGAAGGGGGGAUGUUAGGAGCCCACCUUGCCUAUAUGGGCUCGCCCCGUCCAGCUCAUGGGCCUGGCCCGCUUGAGAACCACCAGACUACAAGUACGCGAGAGGAGCCGACGAAGGAGGCCAUCCAGUGGAUCAGAAACGGCGGCGGCGGCACCUAUCUUCGUGUUCCUCUUGUUCCUCAUUCCCUGUAGCUCAUGUUGGCGAUUGUAACUGGAGCUUGUAUCCUGAAUUCGUGAGCGAUACUAAUAGAUCGA
This 3869-nucleotide long non-coding RNA is filed under the name Triticum aestivum (bread wheat). RNAcentral's name for it is "long non-coding RNA (TAES_LNC026223)". Lineage: Eukaryota; Viridiplantae; Streptophyta; Magnoliopsida; Poales; Poaceae. The record is from RNAcentral.